AGUUUGAGUGAACUCCGGGAGUUGGUGAUGGACAGGGAGGCCUGGCGUGCUGCGGUUCAUGGGGUCGCAAAGAGUCGGACACGACUGAGCGACUGGACUGAACUGAACUGAGGCAUCAUUAGCUAGUAGAUGCUUUAUACGUUUGCUGUAACUCUCUGUACUCCUUCCAUCCUCAGUACCACUCCGCCUCCACACACACCCAGAAGAAAUAGCUGAGGAAAGAAGUAAUUGCCCACAAAUGCAGUAAAUCAGAAAAGAAUGGCUGUGCCCCAACUUUACAAUCAAAUAUUACUUCCCCUUCUGAUGAGCCACUGCCUGAACAACCCUCAGUAAUUUUAUUUUCAUUUCCUGAAGGCUUGAGUCUUGCCUUAUAGCUAGCAAGGUUUGUAUUUGGUCACCAUUUUCUGAGCUCUGUCUCUUGUCAGCUUUGCAUUUUCUCAAAGUAAACCCAGCCCAAACUUCUGGGAAAUCUAAAUACCGCGUCUUCAAGGUGGGUUGGAUAAAGAGUUGUGUUUAGAGAGCUAUGUAGUUUUCUUUGCAUUAGCGUCAAUGUCUGCUGAUUCUUUGGGCCAGAGGAUGAACAAGGUUGAGGAACACAGCUUUUGCUAGUUCCUCAGCCACAUCCCAUGCUGGGAAUUCACAGCUGCUGUGUGGUGGCUUGGGGGAGAUUUAUUGGGAAAGAGUAAGUUUUAGUUAAUUCCAACUGCUCAGCAGAGUCACAUGUGGCUCUCACCCAAGAGUCCAGACCCUCUCUUUAAGGGAGGGAUAACCGUGAGGGAAAAGUGAGAGGAAAAUGCCGAAAGCAGGCAAAAAGAGUGAUGGAAGAGAAAUAACAUUCACUUGGGAUUCAGGCUGCAAACAGGGAAAAUUGCAGAGAAAGAAACCCUUCUCUUUUUCUGAAUACUGCUCCCAGCUCCCCAUGGCUCCAAGCCUCUUGUAAUUGAGGUCUGAAUUGGAGAGCUUCCUAAGGCUGCUGAGUGUGAUCACACUUAAUUUCAAGUAGCAAAGUCCAUUUCAGCCCAUAUUCUCACACUGACAGGGUGAAUCUGAAUAAUAGCUGCAUUGAGGCUGGUUUUUGAAUGACUUGCGUGGCCAAUAUGAAUGUUACUUUUUUAGAAGAGAAUGUGUUUAAUAGUUCAGAAACAUCGUUUUGCUGACCCCAGAAUCAUCUCAGGAAUUCCGUCCAGUGCAGCUCUUUGAAGCUCUAGUUCAAAACGAUGAUUGUCUCUCAGCGUUCCCUCCAAGAUCUCUGCACUGGAGUAAUUUCCCAAGGCUUGGUUUCUGGCUGUGUUACCGGAUGCUCGUGCCCAGUGAAGCCUGACUCUCCAGGGGCCCAGGAUGGCAGAGCAGUUCCAGGUUUCAUGUCAAGACAGAGACAGAACAGCUUCUAGAGGAAAACAAGAGGCCAUCUCCUCUCAGACUUACCUACAAGCUUCUCUGGACUUGUCAGAUCUCAUUGCCUAAAUUUAUGUCCCAUGCACAUUCCUAACAACAAUAAUGGCUACUAUUGGCUUCAGCUAAUGGGGAUCCACCUUCUGGAUAUGGGUACAAGUUAAUGAAGCUUAUAGCUGAGAGGAUGUGGGAUGAUAAGGGAGCCAAUUAGAAUUCAGUUAGGAAGGUCAAGGUGGGGAAUAGUGGUUG
Molecule: long non-coding RNA, 1641 nt
Organism: Bubalus bubalis (water buffalo)
Lineage: Eukaryota; Metazoa; Chordata; Mammalia; Artiodactyla; Bovidae
Exons: 2
Source: RefSeq, a predicted model, not a curated record